This 221-nucleotide long non-coding RNA is filed under the name Vigna radiata. RNAcentral's name for it is "long non-coding RNA (VRAD_LNC017671)". Lineage: Eukaryota; Viridiplantae; Streptophyta; Magnoliopsida; Fabales; Fabaceae. The record is from RNAcentral.
UAGUCCAGUCUCACCACCAAACAUAGCUUGCUUGAAAAGCAAAUAAAUUGAAACAUUUCUUGCACCUAUAUUUUGACACUAGUCGUCAUUUAGGGAUUUAAAGAGUGCAUGGCUGCCCCUAAGUCUAAAAAACCAAGACUUUCAAAUGUUUCCAAAUCUUGGCACCAAGCACCAACUUAGUCUAGUCUCACCACUAAACAUAGCUUGCUUGAAAAGCAACU